AGUGAACGCUGGCGGCAUGCCUAACACAUGCAAGUCGAACGAGAGCACCGGGUCUUGUGGCUCAUGGGUGCGUACCGCGUGGGAAGUUGUCCUUAGGUUCGUAAUAUCUCCUCGAAAGUGGUGCUAAUACAGGCGAAUUUCUUCGGCCCACAGAUUUCUCGUCUUUGGAUGGGCCCGGGCUGGCUGAGCUAGUUGGGGGGGGAAAAGCCUACCAAGGCGGCGAUCGGUAGCUGGUCUGAGAGGGUCAACAGCCACACUGUGAGUGAGAAACGGCCCAGACUCCGAGGGUGGGAAGCAGUGGGGAAUUCUGGAGAAGGGGGGAAAGGCUGAUACAGCAAUACCGGGUGAGUGAAGAAGGCCUUCGGGUUGGAAAGCGCUUAUGGCCGGAAAGAAAUACAGCGCUUUAACACGGGCUGAUGAUGACGGUACCGGAAGAAUAAGCACCGGCUAACUACGUG
RNAcentral lists this ribosomal RNA (458 nucleotides) under uncultured bacterium. Its description in RNAcentral is "partial 16S ribosomal RNA". It matches the Rfam family "Bacterial small subunit ribosomal RNA", at positions 29 to 507 of the family's 1533-position model. The record is from RNAcentral.